CAGAUAAUCACACAGCAGGUAAUUACUAUAAAUCGUUGAAAAGUUCCCUCGACUAUCUUUCGUCUCCAUCAUCAGACUUCAAUGGCACUUGUAACUCAUAUAGGUGCAAUGUUCUCAUCAAUAGAAACGAAUUAAGUUCAAACAGCAAGUAAUUGCUAUAAGUCGUUGAAGAGUACCCUCGACUAUCUUUCGUCUCCAUCAUCAGACUGAAAUGGCACUUAUAACUCAUAUAUAUAUGCAAAGUUCUCAUCAAUAGAAACGAAUUAAGUUCAAACAGCAGGUAAUUGCUAUAAAUUGUUGAAGAGUUCCCUCGACUAUCUUUCUUCUCCAUCAUCAGAUCGACCCCA
Molecule: unclassified non-coding RNA, 347 nt
Filed under: Melitaea cinxia (Glanville fritillary)
Lineage: Eukaryota; Metazoa; Arthropoda; Insecta; Lepidoptera; Nymphalidae
Description: misc RNA ENSMCXG00005018413.1
Source: RNAcentral